CUGAGGGCUUUUAUACCCGGUGGGAUUUGCCGCCUCCCUUUUCCCAGGCAGCGUGGGAAAAAGAGGCGGGCUCAAUUAGGGGUAUAUUAACCCCAGGCUGUGCUAAGGGGCAUUAUUCCCUCCAAGGGAAUCAGCUGGGCUAAAGAGCUUGUCUCUCAUUUCAGCGAAGAGGCUCUUUCAAUUUACUCCAGCCUGCUUUUAGCAGGUAUCUUUUGGGCAUUUGAAGCAGCAGAGGUUUUGAAAACACCUUGAAGAAAACAUUAUGGAACACAGGGAGUAUUUAAGUUCAUGAUUUUGGGUUGAGAGUUCAGGGGUGAUAAGAUGCUUUUAUAAUGAUUCUUCUGUUUGGGUUUUUUUUAGGAGGAUUGCAGUUUCCUGAAGUUCUAGGUCACGUCAAGUGCGAUACUUCAGAUUCUCUCAGCAGAUUCAUCGUGACACAAAAGGGAACCGCUGUGGCAGCUUUCCUUAGCAGCAGAUUAGUCUCUCCGAUGGAUUCGCUUCGGAGAGAUAAGUCGAGGGCUGUGGUCACAGAGGGGAUCGAAGCAGGGUAGUGGGUUAGGAUUCACACCGGUUAGGGUUUUGAGUCAGCUAUGGGGAGGGGGAGGUUUGAGAACUGGCCUCUAGGGCCACGGUGAGGGAAAGGCUCACUUUGGCUAACAAUGCUGAGGCGGGCAGGGCAGAGCAGUCCCAAGGUGUGUUGUCACUUGUCUGUUGUGCUUUCUGUGUCUUCCGUUCAUCUCGUGUAACAUGUCUCUUGCCUUAGUCCUCCCAGGAGCUUAUGAGAAACCCCAGGUCCUUCCGGUCAUCUCCCAUCUUUGCGUUCCUCGGCCCGGGGCCGACGCCGGCGAAGUUUCGAUUCGGGAGGUCAGACAGGCAUCAGAAUCGCAUCUCUGUUCAGCAGCAUCCGAUCGGAUGUCUUUUUAGGUCUUGUUCUCAGCUGUGUUGACAGCUGUAUGCAGUAAUCUUUCUUUACAGUGGAUAAGGACUUGUGCCGAUUCAAAGGCAGGCAGAGGCUUCCAGCCACAGGAUUCUCAGGCAUCCGUCUCCGCGGUUCUCGGAAUAAGUCGUUCCGUUAGCAUCUUUUUCCUCCGGGGUCAUCCGAGCCCGGCGGGCUCGCCUUCGGUCCCUCCUCGGUCAUCUUGUUCAGCAUUUUCUCAGUCCUCGUGAGGACUUUCUCGUCUCAGAGUUUUCUCUCCCUGUCGUGUCCCCUCGUCUCACGUGUCACGGGUGUCUGGGGGUAUUCGGUCCGGAACUGCUCUGCCCUGCCGCCCGGCCCCGUUGCAGGUGUUCAAGGACAAGUCCCGGGCACUUGUAAUUGGAGACUUGUAAUACGGGCUGUAGUUGGAGUCUAGGUAGUAUUCUUAUGUUGGCAGAAGGUGUCUGGAGCUGUGAAGUUACCCUGCAGCACUUCGACCUUUUUCCUAACUUUCUUUCAGAUGCGGAUGGAUCGACCUCCUGGCAGAGCGCCUCGUCCCAGAUGAGGGGAUCCCCCUGAGAAGGAAGUAAAGCCGGAUAGCAGCAGUGAAGGUGAAGCAUUGUGAAGGUGGUCUACUUGCAAGAUAUCCCAGCCCAGGAUGCCAGAGGACAGGUUCCGUGCAGAGAGGCAGAGCCGAAGUUUGCGAUCGGCCGCACCGAAGCCGGCACGGGGGACGUCUCGACGUACACAUCCUAUCGAGGAUGGGCCUUGUCCUA
Molecule: long non-coding RNA, 1692 nt
Organism: Poecile atricapillus (Black-capped chickadee)
Lineage: Eukaryota; Metazoa; Chordata; Aves; Passeriformes; Paridae
Exons: 4
Source: RefSeq, a predicted model, not a curated record